RNAcentral lists this ribosomal RNA (219 nucleotides) under Bacillus cereus. RNAcentral describes it as "partial 16S ribosomal RNA". It matches the Rfam family "Bacterial small subunit ribosomal RNA", at positions 1 to 213 of the family's 1533-position model. Lineage: Bacteria; Bacillati; Bacillota; Bacilli; Caryophanales; Bacillaceae. The record is from RNAcentral.
UUUAUUGGAGAGUUUGAUCCUGGCUCAGGAUGAACGCUGGCGGCGUGCCUAAUACAUGCAAGUCGAGCGAAUGGAUUGAGAGCUUGCUCUCAAGAAGUUAGCGGCGGACGGGUGAGUAACACGUGGGUAACCUGCCCAUAAGACUGGGAUAACUCCGGGAAACCGGGGCUAAUACCGGAUAACAUUUUGAACCGCAUGGUUCGAAAUUGAAAGGCGGCU